Molecule: unclassified non-coding RNA, 348 nt
Filed under: soil metagenome
Description: partial contains 5.8S ribosomal RNA, internal transcribed spacer 2, and large subunit ribosomal RNA
Rfam family: 5.8S ribosomal RNA (bases 1-120)
Source: RNAcentral
GAUGAAGAACGUAGCGAAAUGCGAUAAGUAAUGUGAAUUGCAGAAUUCAGUGAAUCAUCGAAUCUUUGAACGCACAUUGCGCCCGCCAGUAUUCUGGCGGGCAUGCCUGUCUGAGCGUCAUUUCAACCCUCAUGCCCCUAGGGCGUGGUGUUGGGGAUCGGCCAAAGCCCGCGAGGGACGGCCGGCCCCUAAAUCUAGUGACGGACCCGUCGUGGCCUCCUCUGCGAAGUAGUGAUAUUCCGCAUCGGAGAGCGAUGAGCCCCUGCCGUUAAACCCCCAACUUUCCAAGGUUGACCUCAGAUCAGGUAGGAAUACCCGCUGAACUUAAGCAUAUCAAUAAGCGGAGGA